RNAcentral lists this ribosomal RNA (494 nucleotides) under uncultured bacterium. Its description in RNAcentral is "partial 16S ribosomal RNA". It matches the Rfam family "Bacterial small subunit ribosomal RNA", at positions 28 to 507 of the family's 1533-position model. The record is from RNAcentral.
GACGAACGCUGGCGGCGUGCUUAACACAUGCAAGUCGAACGGAAAGGCCUGCUUUCCCUUGUGGAUUGCGGGUACUCGAGUGGCGAACGGGUGAGUAACACGUGAGUGAUCUGCCCCCAACUUGGGUAUAAGCCUGGGAAACUGGGUCUAAUUCCCGAUAGGACUGCAGGGUGGUGCCUGUGGUGGAAAACGAGUUUCUAGUGGUUGGGGAUGAGCUCGCGGCCUAUCAGCUUGUUGGUGGGGUAAUGGCCUACCAAGGCGGCGACGGGUAGCCGGCCUGAGAGGGUGGACGGCCACAUUGGGACUGAGAUACGGCCCAGACUCCUACGGGAGGCAGCAGUGGGGAAUAUUGCACAAUGGGCGGAAGCCUGAUGCAGCGACGCCGCGUGGGGGAUGACGGCCUUCGGGUUGUAAACUCCUUUCGACCGCGAGGAAGCCACCUGGUUGGAAGGGUGGUGACGGUAGUGGUAGAAGAAGCACCGGCUAACUACGUG